This 370-nucleotide ribosomal RNA is filed under the name uncultured organism. RNAcentral describes it as "partial 16S ribosomal RNA". It matches the Rfam family "Bacterial small subunit ribosomal RNA", at positions 527 to 896 of the family's 1533-position model. The record is from RNAcentral.
AGAGGGUGCAAGCGUUAAUCGGAAUAACUGGGCGUAAAGGGCGCGUAGGCGGACAGACAUGUCAUAGGUGAAAUCCCCGGGCUUAACCUGGGAACUGCCUAUGAAACUGUUUGACUAGAAUAUAGGAGAGGGAAGUGGAAUUUCCGGUGUAGCGGUGAAAUGCGUAGAUAUCGGAAGGAACACCAGUGGCGAAGGCGGCUUUCUGGCCUAAUAUUGACGCUGAGGCGCGAAAGCGAGGGUAGCAAACAGGGAUUAGAUACCCUGGUAGUCCACGCCGUAAACGAUGAGAACUAGAUGCUUGGAGGCAUGACUUCUGAGUAUCGAAGCAAACGCGUUAAGUUCUCCGCCUGGGAGUACGACCGCAAGGUUA